RNAcentral lists this ribosomal RNA (245 nucleotides) under uncultured Veillonellaceae bacterium. RNAcentral's name for it is "partial 16S ribosomal RNA". It matches the Rfam family "Bacterial small subunit ribosomal RNA", at positions 796 to 1041 of the family's 1533-position model. The record is from RNAcentral. Lineage: Bacteria; Bacillati; Bacillota; Negativicutes; Veillonellales; Veillonellaceae.
CUAGCCGUAAACGAUGGGUACUAGGUGUAGGGAGUUUCGAUACUUUCUGUGCCGGAGUUAACGCAAUAAGUACCCCGCCUGGGGAGUACGUGCGCAAGCAUGAAACUCAAAGGAAUUGACGGGGGCCCGCACAAGCGGUGGAGCAUGUGGUUUAAUUCGAAGCAACGCGAAGAACCUUACCAGGGCUUGACAUCCCUUGACAGCCACAGAGAUGUGGUUUCUCUUCGGAGCAAGGAGACAGGUGG